UCCAGGUGGCUCAAGUGGUAACGAGUCUUGUCUGCCAAGCAGGAGGCCUCGGUUUGAUCCCUGGAUCAGGAA
RNAcentral lists this transfer RNA (72 nucleotides) under Ovis aries (sheep). It matches the Rfam family "tRNA". From Rfam's summary of the family: Transfer RNA (tRNA) molecules are approximately 80 nucleotides in length. Their secondary structure includes four short double-helical elements and three loops (D, anti-codon, and T loops). The record is from Rfam by way of RNAcentral. Lineage: Eukaryota; Metazoa; Chordata; Mammalia; Artiodactyla; Bovidae.